Molecule: ribosomal RNA, 372 nt
Filed under: uncultured organism
Description: bacterial SSU rRNA
Rfam family: Bacterial small subunit ribosomal RNA
Source: RNAcentral
CAGAGGUCUCGAGCGUUAAUCGGAAUUACUGGGCUUAAAGGGUGCGUAGGCGGCGCUGUAAGUGCCUUGUGAAAUCCCAUGGCUCAACCAUGGAAUGGCUCGGCAGACUGCAGCGCUUGAGGUCGGUAGGGGUCGCUGGAACUCUAGGUGGAGCGGUGAAAUGCGUAGAUAUCUAGAGGAACGCCAAAGGUGUAGACAGGCGACUGGGCCGAUUCUGACGCUGAGGCACGAAAGCGUGGGUAGCGAACGGGAUUAGAUACCCCGGUAGUCCACGCCCUAAACGAUGUGCACUAGAUCGUGGAGGCUCUGACGCCAUCAUGGUCGAAGUUAAAAUGCUAAGUGCACCGCCUGGGGAGUACGGUCGCAAGGCUA